Carassius gibelio (silver crucian carp) is the source of this 664-nucleotide long non-coding RNA. RefSeq lists it as uncharacterized. The record is from RefSeq and is a predicted model, not a curated record. Lineage: Eukaryota; Metazoa; Chordata; Actinopteri; Cypriniformes; Cyprinidae. The transcript is spliced from 4 exons.
UUUUCCCUCUCCCAGAGCUGAAGAUCGACGGGAAGAGAAAGAAAACAAUAUAUGAUGCAAGACAGAGUCAGUAAAUAUAAAACCUAAAUCUCCCAGCAUUUCUUUUGCAUUGUUAUAUUGUUUAAAAUUCACUUUGUUUUCUGUUUUCGAGACCAUACACAUAUUUUCAUAUUUACAUGGCAAAUCCCACUCUAAGUAUCAUCCAUGAGCCUAAAGCUUUCACAACACAGCACAGCGUCCCUCAGGGAUAUUUUACUCCAGGUCUCAGCAAAGGCCAGCUGUCACUGUAAACUGAGCCGGGUGGACCCUCGCGAACAGCUCAGCCUCUGCCCAGCUGCCGCCUUGGGAUCUUAUCAGCCACGGGACCAUGCAGCUCAGACAAUCUGGACCUGCAUAUCUCCUAGCACAGACUGAUGUGAGGGAAUUACUGCCAGAGGACACUGAACACAUACGAUCGAGAUGCUGCCGUGAAGAGAUUCAAGGCUAUUUCCAGCUCAUUGCGGGCGGCUGUCCUUCCUGGUUUGAUCCCCAAGGCAACCGAUGUGGUCAUUCCUUCCAGAAAAUGGAGAGCGAUGUAACCAAACACCAACAGGGGCCUCAGAAAAAAAAAACAGUGUGUCUGCGUGUGUGUGAGUAGGUGGACAUUAUGGUUGAAAAGGGGAAA